UAAAUAAAUAAAAGUCAUUGAGAUCGACAAGCAGAUCCCACAGGAAAAUAAAUUAAUGCAAACAAAAUAACAAUAAAAAAAUAAAAAUAAAAAAAGUUGGGCGCAAAUUAGUCAUAUAUAAAGGGGUGAAAAUAAAAAUAAAAUUAUUUACAUUCUCCCCCCUCAAGAAAUUUCUCCUUCUUCUUUCUUCCUUCUUCUUCUUCUUCCGUCAUCUUCUUCUCUGUAAUAAUUCACUUCAGCACACAAUACUGGACGAGAUUCCGCCGUAAAUCCUCCUCCAAUGCUAGGAGACUCCGCUACUUCCGGCGGCGGCGGCGGCGCCACAACCGCCACUCCUCCUCAUUUCCAUCACCACCACCACCACCAGCAGCCGCAGCACAAUCCGAGUACCAAUCCUCCGAUUAAUUCAUCAGCAGCUCAGUUUGCAGCUCCGGCGGCGGCCGAUGCAGGGCAGCAUGUCGGCUCGAGCUCAGGCGGCGAGGAGGAUAGAUUCGGCGGGGGGGGGGGGGGGG
Molecule: long non-coding RNA, 512 nt
Filed under: Linum usitatissimum (flax)
Lineage: Eukaryota; Viridiplantae; Streptophyta; Magnoliopsida; Malpighiales; Linaceae
Description: long non-coding RNA (LUSI_LNC005492)
Source: RNAcentral